GAGGGUGAGGAAAGAGACUGUCCAAGUGGGCUGGUCAAGUAGUAAUUUCCUUUCCUUAGGACGUUAAGAAACAAUUCUUGGGAGUGCCCAUUAGUGAUAGUUAAAAAUUGAAUGAAGAUUUUGUCUUGUUAUAAGGUGUGUGUUUUACUUUGGAUCUAAAAAUGUAAGGAUGUCAUCCAAUCACAGAUGAGCUGUGGCAGAGGAGCGUCAAGCCUUGCGGUACGGUUGGCCACGUUACACAGUUCAGGGCAGCGACAGCAGCAGCAGCUACCUUGCAACCAUGAGACGGAAAAGUUUGAGAGCACAAGCCAACUCGCUAGGAUUGAAGGAGCCAAAAAUAGAAAGCAUCUGGGUCCCUGUUGGCAUUGAUGAGCAGCGGUACCACAGCCAGCUACUGUCUACUUUUUCCUCCCAAGAUUUUAUUACAAAAAUUUUUAAACAUACAGACAAGUUGAAAGAAUUGUACAGUGGACACCCACCACCUGUCUUCAUUUUAUACUUGCUUUAUCACAUCUGUCCAUCUAAACAGUUCUCCAAUCAUCCCUCAAUCUGUCUUUUUUUUUCUUUUGAGGAAGAUUAGCCCUGAGCUAACUACUGCCAAUCUUCCUCUUUUUGCUGAGGAAGACUGGCCCUGAGCUAACAUCUGUGCCCAUCUUCCUCUACUUUACAUGUGGGACGCCUACCACAGCAUGGCUUUUGCCAAGCGGUGCCAUGUCCGCACCCAGGAUCCGAGCCAGUGAACCCCGGGCGGCUGAGAAGCAGAACGUGUGAACUUAACCACUGCGCCACUGGGCCGGCCCAAUCCGUCUUUUUUUGAUGUAUUUCUAAGAACAGUUCACCGCUAGACAUUUCAGUAUGCAUCUGGUUCAGUAGACUAUUUGUGUAUUAUCUUUUUUAGUUGAAAAUUUUGUUGAGAUAAUUAUAGAUUCAUACACGGUUGUAAGAAAUAAUGUCGAGAGAUCUUUGCACACAUUGUCCAGUUCCCCCUAAUGAUAACAUUUUGCAACACUGUUGUGUAAGAUCACAAUUAGGAUAGUGGCAUUGAUGCAACCCACUGACCUUACUCAGGUUUCCUCAGUUUAACUUGUACUCAUUUGUGUGAGUGUGUCUGUUCAUUAAGUUUUAUGCAAUUGUAUACCUGUGCAGGUUCAUGUAUCCACACCACAGUCAAGAUACUGAAAAGCUUUUGUAUGUAAUUUACCUUACCUUAAAAAUUACAUGCAAUGAAGUGCAGAAAUCUUUUUUAUCUUUUUUUGACCACUUGGUAUACGUGUGGUUUUUUUUUUUUU
Equus caballus (horse) is the source of this 1289-nucleotide long non-coding RNA. The record is from Ensembl. Lineage: Eukaryota; Metazoa; Chordata; Mammalia; Perissodactyla; Equidae.